Molecule: ribosomal RNA, 496 nt
Filed under: uncultured bacterium
Lineage: Bacteria
Description: partial 16S ribosomal RNA
Source: RNAcentral
CACGUAGUUAGCCGGGGCUUUCUGGCGAAGUACCGUCAAUUUACCAUCAUUACCUAUGGUAAGGUUUCUUCCUUCGCAACAGGGUUUUACAAUCAUUAUGACUGUCAUCACUCACGCGGCAUUGCUCGUUCAGGGUUUCCCCCAUUGACGAAUAUUCCUAACUGCUGUCUCCCGUAGGAGUCUGGGCCGUGUCUCAGUCCCAGUGUGUCCGAUCAGCCUCUCAGCUCGGAUAUGCAUCGUUGUCUUGGUAGGCCUUUACCCCACCAACUAACUAAUACACCGCAAGCCCAUCUCAAAGUGAAGCCAAAGCUCCUUUUAGCACAGUUACUUUGUAUCUGUGAAUCAUCUGGUAUUAGCUAUCGUUCCAAUAGUUAUCCCAGUCUCUGAGGUAGGUUACCCACGUGUUACUCACCCGUCUGCCACUAAGUGGAUAUCAUUUCCAACUUUGUGCAAGCACUCCAUCUUCUAUGGGCCUACGUUCCGUUCGACUUUGCUA